CUGCCCUACGAGCCUGCUGGUUUUCUGUUCUAACUGAUAAUGAAUUGCACCCACCUGGUGUCCCAGGUCUAGAUCAGUCCCCGAUUAAAGGAGAACAAUGAAGAAAUGCAGUGGACCUGGCUUUGAGACCCAGAGGAAGUCAUAGCGGACACCUACAAAGGGCUGUGUGAUGAUGGCAUCUCAGGCAGCCAGCCUCCGAAGGGGGACUUGAAGAGACUGCAAAUUCCAGGCACUGCUGCUCUCUUUGUUCUGUGUUUGUAGUGCUAGUGUUUUUAGUUAAUCUGUGGUUUGUAAUGGAGGACAUCAGGUGGAUCCACGUCUGGGUUUUGGGCGGAACACUUAACUCCUGGAGAACAAGAGCAGAGUUAUAGGGAAAAGGGUAGGAGAGAGAGACGUAAACAAGCAAACACACAGGAGAACAUUUGAUAGAUUAGUGCGGU
This is a long non-coding RNA of Oncorhynchus keta (chum salmon), 440 nucleotides long. RefSeq lists it as uncharacterized. Lineage: Eukaryota; Metazoa; Chordata; Actinopteri; Salmoniformes; Salmonidae. The transcript is spliced from 3 exons. The record is from RefSeq and is a predicted model, not a curated record.